This 253-nucleotide ribosomal RNA is filed under the name uncultured bacterium. Its description in RNAcentral is "partial 16S ribosomal RNA". It matches the Rfam family "Bacterial small subunit ribosomal RNA", at positions 524 to 776 of the family's 1533-position model. The record is from RNAcentral.
UACGGAGGGGGCUAGCGUUAUUCGGAAUUAUUGGGCGUAAAGGGCGCGUAGGCGGCCUGAUAAGUAGGGGGUGAAAUCCUGCGGCUUAACCGCAGGGCUGCCUUCUAAACUGUCAGGCUUGAGCACAGUAGAGGCAGGUGGAAUUCCCGGUGUAGCGGUGGAAUGCGUAGAGAUCGGGAAGAACAUCAGUGGCGAAGGCGGCCUGCUGGGCUGUUGCUGACGCUGAGGCGCGACAGCGUGGGGAGCAAACAGG